RNAcentral lists this long non-coding RNA (1214 nucleotides) under Anolis carolinensis (green anole). Its description in RNAcentral is "lncRNA (ENSACAG00000040072.1)". The record is from RNAcentral. Lineage: Eukaryota; Metazoa; Chordata; Lepidosauria; Squamata; Anolidae.
UAUUAUAUAUAAUGUGUGUGUGUGUGUAAAACAAAAUGCAUCAAAAAGUUUGCCCAUGACUGAUAUAUAUAUAGUUUGCCCAUGACUGAUAUAUAUAUAUAUAUAUAUAUAUAUAUAUAUAUAUAUAUAUAUAUAUAUAUCAGUCAUGGGCAAACUUUUUGAUGCAUUUUGUUUUAAAAUUUGACAGACAAGCCAGUGGCAGAUGGAUGGAGAGUGUUUGUAUAAAUGAAUUGAAAAGAAUGAACAAAUUCUUAUGCACACUGCACAUAUCUUGCUUUUAGUACAAAAAAAAAGGAAAGAAAGAACAAUUUUAACCAACAUAAACUUAACAGUGUUUCAGUGGAAGACCCCAGGGACCAUCUAGUUCAACCCCCUUGUGCUAUACAGGAGAAGCACAAUUAAAGCACCCUCAACAGAUGGCCCCACAGCCGUAGUAGUAGUAGUAGUAGUAGUAGUAGUAGUAGUAAUAGCAACAGAAACCCAGGGGGCAACCAGUUCAACUCCCUUUUGUCAGGCAGGAAAAACACAAAAUACUCCCUGAACGGUGGGAAAUGGGGUUUUGGAAGCAAGGAUGGUGAGAGGAAAAGGAUCUGGGUGGCAAGGAAAGUGAGCAAAAAAGAGUUUUGGGGGGAAGUCAUAGGGAGGAGGGAGCAAGCUUGUUUUCUGCUGCCCUGCAGACUAGGACACGGAACAAUGGCUUCAAACUACAGGAAAGGAGAUUCCACCUGAACAUCAGGAAGAACUUCCUCACUGUGAGGGCUGUUCGACAGUGGAACUCUCUCCCCUGGGCUGUGGUGGAGGCUCCUUCCUUGGAGGCUUUUCAGCAGAGGCUGGAUGGCCAUCUGUCGGGGGUGCUUUGAAUGCGAUUUCCUGCUUCUUGGCAGGGGGUUGGACUGGAUGGCCCAUGAGGUCUCUUCCAACUCUACUAUUCUAUGAUUCUAUGACUGUCUUGAAGUAUAUUUCACUCACUAUAUUUCUCAGCAUAGUCAUUUAUGAAAUAAAGUAACGGUCAGGGCUGUAGCCAAGGGGGGGGGCUUAGAGGUUAAACCCCCCCCUCAAUUUUACUCAUAAAUUUUAACUGGUUAACCAAAUCCCCAUGGAUGUCCACUGAAGUUUAUCUGUCUUGAGUGUCCACUGAAGUUUAUCGAUGGAGCUUGAUUUCUAAAUUAUGGAACUACUCUUCAUGAUUUGCUAAAAAAAAAAUCAACCCCCUG